RNAcentral lists this ribosomal RNA (497 nucleotides) under uncultured bacterium. RNAcentral describes it as "partial 16S ribosomal RNA". It matches the Rfam family "Bacterial small subunit ribosomal RNA", at positions 28 to 507 of the family's 1533-position model. The record is from RNAcentral.
GAUGAACGCUGGCGGCGUGCCUAAUACAUGCAAGUCGAGCGAACAGACGAGGAGCUUGCUCCUCUGACGUUAGCGGCGGACGGGUGAGUAACACGUGGAUAACCGACCUAUAAGACUGGGAUCACUUCGGGAAACCGGAGCUAAUACCGGAUAAUAUAUUGAACCGCAUGGUUCAAUAGUGAAAGACGGUUUUGCUGUCACUUAUAGAUGGAUCCGCGCCGCAUUAGCUAGUUGGUAAGGUAACGGCUUACCAAGGCAACGAUGCGUAGCCGACCUGAGAGGGUGAUCGGCCACACUGGAACUGAGACACGGUCCAGACUCCUACGGGAGGCAGCAGUAGGGAAUCUUCCGCAAUGGGCGAAAGCUUGACGGAGCAACGCCGCGUGAGUGAUGAAGGUCUUCGGAUCGUAAAACUCUGUUAUUAGGGAAGAACAAAUGUGUAAGUAACUAUGCACGUCUUGACGGUACCUAAUCAGAAAGCCACGGCUAACUACGUG